This 301-nucleotide ribosomal RNA is filed under the name uncultured bacterium. RNAcentral describes it as "partial 16S ribosomal RNA". It matches the Rfam family "Bacterial small subunit ribosomal RNA", at positions 509 to 807 of the family's 1533-position model. The record is from RNAcentral.
CAGUAGCCGCGGUAAUACGAAGGGUGCAAGCGUUACUCGGAAUUACUGGGCGUAAAGCGUGCGUAGGUGGUGGUUUAAGUCCGUCGUGAAAGCCCUGGGCUCAACCUGGGAAUUGCAGUGGAUACUGGGUCACUAGAGUGUGGUAGAGGAUAGUGGAAUUUCCGGUGCAGCAGUGAAAUGCGUAGAGAUCGGAAGGAACAUCUGUGGCGAAGGCGACUAUCUGGGCCAUUACUGACACUGAGGCACGAAAGCGUGGGGAGCAAACAGGAUUAGAUACCCCUGUAGUCCCUGUCUCUUAUAC